AACGAACGCUGGCGGCAGGCUUAACACAUGCAAGUCGAGCGCCCUAGCAAUAGGGAGCGGCGCACGGGUGAGUAACGCGUGGGAACGUACAAUUUAGUGGGGGAUAACUUCGGGAAACUGAAGCUAAUACCGCAUACGCCCGAGAGGGGAAAGAUUUAUCGUUAAAUGAACUGCCCGCGUGAGAUUAGGUAGUUGGUGGGGUAAUGGCCUACCAAGCCCACGAUGUCUAGCUGGUCGGAGAGGAUGCUCAGCCGCACUGGAACUGGGCAACGGUCCUGAGUGCUACGGGAGGAAGCAGUGGGGAAUAUUGGACAAUGGGGGAAAGCCUGAUCCAGCCAUGCCGCGUGAAUGAUGCAGGCUUUAGGGUUGUAAAGUUCUUUCACCUAUGAAGAUAAUGACGGUAGUCGGAGAAGAAGCCCCGGCUAACUUCGUGCCAGCCGCCGCCGUAA
This 449-nucleotide ribosomal RNA is filed under the name uncultured bacterium. Its description in RNAcentral is "partial 16S ribosomal RNA". It matches the Rfam family "Bacterial small subunit ribosomal RNA", at positions 29 to 523 of the family's 1533-position model. The record is from RNAcentral.